Molecule: transfer RNA, 68 nt
Filed under: uncultured Corynebacterium sp.
Lineage: Bacteria; Bacillati; Actinomycetota; Actinomycetes; Mycobacteriales; Corynebacteriaceae
Rfam family: tRNA
About the family: Transfer RNA (tRNA) molecules are approximately 80 nucleotides in length. Their secondary structure includes four short double-helical elements and three loops (D, anti-codon, and T loops).
Source: RNAcentral
GGGUGUAGCUCAAUUGGUAGAGCAACGGUCUCCAAAACCGUAGGUUGCGGGUUCAAGUCCUGUCACCC